CAGCCGCCGCGGUAAUACAGAGGAUGCAAGCGUUAUCCGGAAUGAUUGGGCGUAAAGCGUCUGUAGGUGGCUUUUCAAGUCCGCCGUCAAAUCCCAGGGCUCAACCCUGGACAGGCGGUGGAAACUACCAAGCUGGAGUACGGUAGGGGCAGAGGGAAUUUCCGGUGGAGCAGUGAAAUGCGUAGAUAUGCGGAGGAACACCGAUGGCGAAGGCAAUCCCCUGGGCCUGCACUGACGCUCAUGCACGAAAGCGUGGGGAGCAAACAGGAUUAGAUACCCGCGUAGUCCCUGUCUCUUAUAC
Molecule: ribosomal RNA, 301 nt
Filed under: uncultured bacterium
Lineage: Bacteria
Description: partial 16S ribosomal RNA
Rfam family: Bacterial small subunit ribosomal RNA
Source: RNAcentral